Long non-coding RNA from Fukomys damarensis (Damara mole-rat), 1888 nucleotides. RefSeq lists it as uncharacterized. The transcript is spliced from 3 exons. The record is from RefSeq and is a predicted model, not a curated record. Lineage: Eukaryota; Metazoa; Chordata; Mammalia; Rodentia; Bathyergidae.
UUGAGGGUACUGAGCAUCAGGCUUGCCCUAAAUCAACAGGGAAAAUAAACAGGCUAGUUUCAGCAAAUACCAGCAGCUUCCCAGUAAGUGAGUUAAGUGGACUAAAAAAUAUGGUCUGUCACCCCCUGGUGCUGAACAGUCCAGUAAAUGUAUACAUGCCUGAGCAGACUGUGCAGACCACCUGCCGUAAAUAUGUCACCCAGAUUCCUUAGCCUCUUCAAUACCUACAGAAGCCUCAUUCCUUUCCCAGUUAAUUGCUAGUAUCUCUCCCUCCUGGUGUUAGCCCAUCUUCUCAGGGAUGAAGUCUCUCCCAGCCAGCUGUCACUAUCGCUUUCCCAUUGUCAGCCCACCCACGCAAGGAUGGAUGUAUUAAACUCAGCUUUUCCCAGCUAGCUGCUAAAAUCUCCUGAUUUCUAGUCUCUGUUCACUGCAAUAAACUUUUCUUUUUCUCACAAUGGAGAGCCCAUCUUAUUGACAAGUGGAUUCUGCAUAACAUUGUGGUCCCGUGACUGGGUGAGGCCCCACCUCAGGAGCCACUAAACCCACUGGUCAACAUGUUCUUCAGAUUUUGCUUCAGCAUUGCAGGCAAGCUGCUCAGCUCCAUUCUACAUGCUUCAGACCAGUGGAGCCACCUCACAAGACACAGCCAUGGAAUCCAAGACCCUUCCUAGCCAUCACUCGCAGCGGAACCACAGCCCGCUACCACUGGGACAGCUGGGACCUACGCUGCACGAGGACUCGGCCUUCCUCCCUGACACCACUGCUGUGACUGCCUGGCUCUGCUGAAAACAAGGCCCUGGCCCCACAGGUGACACAGCCGCUGCCCUGGACACUAGGCAUGGGGGUCCUGCCUUGAGAGACCCUACACUAAGCGUGCCCAACUCUGCAGGCCCCACUGAGCCUCACACCCCUGCGCUGCCUGCUCCCCGACACCACUCUGGCUCUUACCCCUCUCCUCCUCCGAGACCUCUGAGGGACUGAGGGGCUGCUGGAGGCUCAGUCAGGUGCCAGCGCCCCUGGGAGCCAGAGCUUCACCUCCAAGACUGUCAGUCUGCAAGUCAUACUUCCAUCAGGCAGACUCAAAUUCCAGAAAAUGUAUAAAUGCCUCACUUUUGUGUAUGUUUUAUUUACUUUCAGUCUGGUUUAAUCUGUUUUCAGGGCACUAUGGGUAACUUCUCCCCGGAAAGAGACCAAAUUGUUUCCUUUCUUUUCACCCUCCUCUUGUUCGAUAAUCCAUAAGAAGAGCCUAAGCACUUCCCGCCCCCUUCCCGUGCCCUUUGACCCAGUUAGCCCUCCCAUUUCUUUAACAGUGCCCCUAGGUGAUACCUCUGGUGGUCCCUCCAAGACUGCAGUUCACCCCUUCCCUGCCCCCUUCACUCUUCUCUUACAGAACCUCAUUCGGGAUGGUAACCUGCCAAUCCCAGAUGUUUCCCUAAGUUUUUCUCCCGUGUAGGAUGUCACCGCUGCCCAUUUGUCACCCCGAAGCAGCCGGUGAGAAGCUCUGCCUCCUCUCCCUUCUCUCUAUAUAACAACAAAAUGAUGGGAAUGUCAGGCCUGCCCUGAAUCAACGGGGAAAACAAACAGGCUGCUUUUAACAAAUACCAGCAGCUUCCCAUAAGUGAGUAAGUGGACUAAAACAUAGGGUCUGUCACCCCCGGUGCUGAAUAAUCUAAUCAGUGUAUACGUGCCCGAGCAGACUGUGCGGACCACCCUAAGGUGUGAGUACGUCACCCAGAUUCCUUAGCCCCUUCCGUACCUAUAUAAGCUUAGUCCCUUUCCCAGUUCAUUGCUAGUAUCUCUCCCCGCUGGUGACGUUAUUCUCUCAGGGAUGGAGUCCCUCCCUGCUAGCCACCGCUAUGUCUCUUUCCCUCCCUCCGCCAUUAGAAUC